RNAcentral lists this ribosomal RNA (213 nucleotides) under uncultured bacterium. RNAcentral describes it as "partial 16S ribosomal RNA". It matches the Rfam family "Bacterial small subunit ribosomal RNA", at positions 118 to 333 of the family's 1533-position model. The record is from RNAcentral.
UGAGCAAUCUGCCCUUCACAUCGGAAUAACCAUUGGAAACGAUGGCUAAUACCGAAUAUGACUUCGGAUCGCAUGAUCUGAAGUGGAAAGCUCCGGCGGUGAAGGAUGAGCUCGCGGCCUAUCAGCUUGUUGGUGAGGUAAUAGCUCACCAAGGCGAUGACGGGUAGCCGGCCUGAGAGGGUGACCGGCCACACUGGGACUGAGACAGGCCCA